RNAcentral lists this ribosomal RNA (494 nucleotides) under uncultured bacterium. Its description in RNAcentral is "bacterial SSU rRNA". It matches the Rfam family "Bacterial small subunit ribosomal RNA", at positions 29 to 518 of the family's 1533-position model. The record is from RNAcentral.
AUGAACGCUAGCGACAGGCCUAACACAUGCAAGUCAGGGGCAGCACAAGGAGCAAUCUGAGGUGGCGACCGGCGCACGGGUGAGUAACACGUAUGCAACCUGCCUGUAAGCGGGGAAUAACCCGUUGAAAGACGGACUAAUACCGCAUAAUACUAAAUUACUGCAUGGUAAUUUAUUUAAACAUUUAUGGCUUACAGAUGGGCAUGCGCAUGAUUAGCUAGUUGGAGAGGUAACGGCUCCCCAAGGCAACGAUCAUUAGGGGUUCUGAGAGGAAGGUCCCCCACACUGGUACUGAGACACGGACCAGACUCCUACGGGAGGCAGCAGUGAGGAAUAUUGGUCAAUGGACGAGAGUCUGAACCAGCCAAGUCGCGUGCAGGAAGAAUGUCCCUAUGGAUUGUAAACUGCUUUUGCAGGGGAAUAAAGUGCAUCACGUGUGAUGUUUUGUAUGUACUCUGCGAAUGAGGAUCGGCUAACUCCGUGCCAGCCGCCGC